RNAcentral lists this non-coding RNA (30 nucleotides) under Mus musculus (house mouse). Lineage: Eukaryota; Metazoa; Chordata; Mammalia; Rodentia; Muridae. The record is from RNAcentral.
UGCAACAAAUGGUGAAGAACAACAAGGAAA